GUACCCAACAAGGAAGUGACGGCUAACUACGUGCCAGCAGCCGCGGUAAAACGUAGGUCACAAGCGUUGUCCGGAAUUACUGGGUGUAGAGGGAGCGCAGGCGGGAAGACAAGUUGGAAGUGAAAUCUAUGGGCUCAACCUAUAAACUGCUUUCAAAACUGUUUUUCUUGAGUAGUGCAGAGGUAGGCGGAAUUCCCGGUGUAGCGGUGGAAUGCGUAGAUAUCGGGAGGAACACCAGUGGCGAAGGCGGCCUACUGGGCACCAACUGACGCUGAGGCUCGAAAGUGUGGGUAGCAAACAGGAUUAGAUACCCUGGUAGUCCACACCGUAAACGAUGAUUACUAGGUGUUGGAGGAUUGACCCCUUCAGUGCCGCAGUUAACACAAUAAGUAAUCCACCUGGGGA
This 405-nucleotide ribosomal RNA is filed under the name uncultured bacterium. RNAcentral's name for it is "bacterial SSU rRNA". It matches the Rfam family "Bacterial small subunit ribosomal RNA", at positions 475 to 879 of the family's 1533-position model. The record is from RNAcentral.